This 2201-nucleotide long non-coding RNA is filed under the name Citrus sinensis (sweet orange). Its description in RNAcentral is "long non-coding RNA (CSIN_LNC001438)". Lineage: Eukaryota; Viridiplantae; Streptophyta; Magnoliopsida; Sapindales; Rutaceae. The record is from RNAcentral.
ACAAUGAUGAAGAUCUCAUCAGGAUCUUGGCUACAAGGAGCAAAGCACAGAUCAAUGCGACUCUGAAUCAAUAUAAGAAUGUAUAUGGGAAUGAUAUUGAUCAGGACUAAGAGGCUGACCCUAAAGAUGAGUACCUCGACCUACUGAGGGCCACAGUUCAGUGCUUAGUCCACCCUGAACAUUAUUUUGAGAAGAUACUUCAUCUGGCAAUUAACAAACAGGGAACAGAUGAAGGGGCUCUUACUAGAGUCGUCACCACAUGGGCCGAGGUCGACUUGAAGGUCAUAAAAGAUGAGUACCAGAGGAACGGUGUUCCUCUGGAUCGUGCCGUUGUCAAGGACACCUCUGGGGACUACGAAAAAAUGCUUCUGGCACUGUUAGGACAUGGGGAUGCUUGAGUUGUUCCCUAUUUCUUGAAGGAUUGAGAGACAAAUAUGUGUUUUAUUUAUCUAGGUUUGCUGUUGCUUGAGUUUGCAGAGUUCUCCAUCCAUGUUUGAUGAUCGUUUUAUUUUCCGUCUUUUGGUUAUGCCGGUUGAAAAACUUAAUCUAUGAGCGCUUCAGUUAUCUCAUAUAUAUUCAAAAUAAUAUCUGAUUUAUAUAUGCAUCUAAAUGGUGGUUGGUUUGUGAUUAGCAACUUGAUGCUUGAGUGUGUGAUGAUCUAAUUCUAAUGCCCCUGAAGCAGAUGAUGUUGCAAUGUAACAACUUAUAUGGGUAGAAACUUUUGGUUUUGAUAGAAAUAAAAAUUUUUCUUUUGCUUCAUUGUUUUGAGUCUCAUGUGCUAAUAAUGCUUGAUUCAAUUGAUUGGAAAACAAAUUUUGUGACCAGAGUAAUGCCAGUACUGCUUGAAACUAGUUCUGAGUCACAAUGAAAGAUACUUUGGUUGGUGGGUGAAAACUGGAUGUGGAAAGGCAGUAUGUGAAAGAGAUCAGUUACUUAUAAUGAUUUAGUAGCUUACUAUAUGAAAGUCUAACUUGGAAUUCUGGAAUUGCCCUCUUUUUUUUUAUUUGUCAGAGGAUUCUUGUAGUCUUACGUAGUUUUCUCAUUUUAUCUCAUUUGUCUUUCUGCAUUACAUGUUCAAUGAAGUCAUCAUUUUUUAAGCAUUGUGAUUGACUGACUUCAUUGUAUAUUCAUGUACACUAGCUUUUGCUACCCCUUGUGACUGCCUACCGAUAUGAGGGUGAUGAGGUGAACAUUACACUUGCAAAAUCAGAAGCUAAGAUUCUCCAUGAGAAGAUUUCUAAUAAGGCUUACAAUGAUGAGGAUCUCAUCAGGAUCUUGGCUACAAGGAGCAAAGCACAGAUCAAUGCGACUCUGAAUCAAUACAAGAAUGUAUAUGGGAAUGAUAUUGAUCAGGUACCCAUUUGGUCUUUGAACGCUAUGUUUGGCCAGAUAUUUUCUGAAAGCUUAUUUUUCCUCUUCUUUAAAACUUUUGGCUCCGGAUCUUCUUCUAAAAUUUAAUCUAUGUAUCUUUUCUGUGGUAAUUGAGGCCAACUGAUUGACCUCAUGGAUUCUUUUUCGCAUUUUCAAUUAAAAUUUUGAUUUCAACAGUUUGUUUUUACUGUUUAUGAUAGAAUAAAAGAAUAAUUGGAAACCAUUUCAAGAAUGAAAUAAGAUUAUUUGGUAAAACAUUUGUGGUCUUGAGGAGGGCUUUCACCACCUGAUAAGCCAUAUCUCUUUUAGGUUUAUUUUUGACUAAUCGCAUUAGUAUCCUAUUUGCAGGACUUAGAGGCUGACCCUAAAGAUGAGUACCUCGACCUACUGAGGGCCACAGUUCAGUGCUUAGUCCGCCCUGAACAUUAUUUUGAGAAGAUACUUCGUCUGGCAAUUAACAAACAGGGAACAGAUGAAGGGGCUCUUACUAGAGUCGUCACCACAAGGGCCGAGGUCGACUUGAAGGUCAUAAAAGAUGAGUACCAGAGGAGGAACAGUGUUCCUCUGGAUCGCGCCGUUGUCAAGGACACCUCUGGGGACUACGAAAAAAUGCUUCUGGCACUUUUAGGACAUGGGGAUGCUUGAGUUGUUCCCUAUUUCUUGAAGGAUUGAGAGGCAAUAUAUGUGUUUUAUUUAUCUAGGUUUGCUGUUGCUUGGAGUUUGCAGUGCUCUCUAUCCAUGUGUGAUGAUCGUUUUAUUUUCAGUCUUUUGGUUAUGCCGGUUGAAAAACAUAAUCUAUGAUCUUAUAAAUAAGAUGGUGACAGCAUUUG